ACCUGCCCUGCUCUGAUUCAAAAAUUCAAUGCAAACUUCUGAUUGUGGAAUUCUGUUGUACAGCAAAUGACAAAACAACAACAACAAAACACCAGCUGCUACAUCAAAAGGAAACAAAGCAGUCAAGUUCGAUACACCUAGAAGUCAAAGCGAGAGAAAGAUGGAACACAGUAGUCACAACAGUCAAGUUAUAAAGAACAAUAUAGCUCUACUCAAAUUAUUGGAUCAAAGAAUGGAAAUAAAAUUUCAUUCAGCCGAGGAUCUCGUUGAUGCUAAGGCAAGAAAAAACAAGACUGAUGAAAAUUAC
Pantherophis guttatus is the source of this 307-nucleotide non-coding RNA. Lineage: Eukaryota; Metazoa; Chordata; Lepidosauria; Squamata; Colubridae. The record is from RefSeq and is a predicted model, not a curated record.